RNAcentral lists this small nuclear RNA (129 nucleotides) under Notoacmea petterdi. RNAcentral's name for it is "partial U2 snRNA". It matches the Rfam family "U2 spliceosomal RNA", at positions 27 to 155 of the family's 192-position model. From Rfam's summary of the family: U2 is a small nuclear RNA (snRNA) component of the spliceosome (involved in pre-mRNA splicing). The record is from RNAcentral. Lineage: Eukaryota; Metazoa; Mollusca; Gastropoda; Acmaeidae.
CAAAGUGUAGUAUCUGUUCUUAUCAGCUUAAUAUCUGAUACGUACCCCAUCGGGGUACUUCGAUAUUAAACUGAUUUUUGGACACAGAUGAGGUGCCCGGAGCUUGCUCCGCCCUCAUCACGGGUUGCC